ACACGUAGGGGGCGAGCGUUGUUCGGAAUCAUUGGGCGUAAAGGGCGUGCAGGCGGUCCUGCAAGUCCGGCGUGAAAGACCCCGGCCCAACCGGGGGGACGCGCUGGAAACUGCGGGGCUUGAGUACAGGAGGGGAUGCCGGAAUUCCAGGUGUAGGGGUGAAAUCUGUAGAUAUCUGGAAGAACACCAAUGGCGAAGGCAGGCAUCUGGCCAUGUACUGACGCUGAGACGCGACGGUGCGGGGAGCAAACAGGUUUAGAUACCCUGGUAGUCCGCACAGUAAACGAUGUGCACCAGGUGGCGGGGGGUCGACCCUCGGUACCGUAGCUAACGCAUUAAGUGCACCGCCUGGGGAGUAUGCUCGCAAGGGUGAAACUCAAAUGAAUUGACGGGG
Molecule: ribosomal RNA, 394 nt
Filed under: uncultured bacterium
Lineage: Bacteria
Description: partial 16S ribosomal RNA
Rfam family: Bacterial small subunit ribosomal RNA
Source: RNAcentral